Molecule: transfer RNA, 88 nt
Filed under: Fidelibacterota bacterium
Lineage: Bacteria; Pseudomonadati; Fidelibacterota
Description: tRNA-Leu
Rfam family: tRNA
About the family: Transfer RNA (tRNA) molecules are approximately 80 nucleotides in length. Their secondary structure includes four short double-helical elements and three loops (D, anti-codon, and T loops).
Source: RNAcentral
GCCCGGGUGGUGGAAUUGGUAGACACAAGGGACUUAAAAUCCCUCGGCAUUUUAUGCUGUGCGAGUUCAAGUCUCGCCCUAGGCACCA